RNAcentral lists this ribosomal RNA (397 nucleotides) under uncultured bacterium. RNAcentral's name for it is "bacterial SSU rRNA". It matches the Rfam family "Bacterial small subunit ribosomal RNA", at positions 28 to 426 of the family's 1533-position model. The record is from RNAcentral.
AUUGAACGCUGGCGGCAUGCUUUACACAUGCAAGUCGAACGGCAGCGGGGGUGCUUGCACCUGCCGGCGAGUGGCGAACGGGUGAGUAAUGCAUCGGAACGUGCCCAGUCGUGGGGGAUAACUUGCCGAAAGGUAAGCUAAUACCGCAUACGUCCUGAGGGAGAAAGCGGGGGGAUCUUCGGACCUCGCGCGAUUGGAGCGGCCGAUGUCAGAUUAGCUGGUUGGUGGGGUAAAGGCCUACCAAGGCGACGAUCUGUAGCGGGUCUGAGAGGAUGAUCCGCCACACUGGGACUGAGACACGGCCCAGACUCCUACGGGAGGCAGCAGUGGGGAAUUUUGGACAAUGGGGGCAACCCUGAUCCAGCCAUGCCGCGUGAGUGAAGAAGGCCUCGGUUGU